This 494-nucleotide ribosomal RNA is filed under the name uncultured bacterium. RNAcentral's name for it is "partial 16S ribosomal RNA". It matches the Rfam family "Bacterial small subunit ribosomal RNA", at positions 28 to 507 of the family's 1533-position model. The record is from RNAcentral.
GACGAACGCUGGCGGCGUGCUUAACACAUGCAAGUCGAACGGAAAGGCCUGCUUUCCCUUGUGGAUUGCGGGUACUCGAGUGGCUAACGGGUGAGUAACACGUGAGUGAUCUGCCCCCAACUUGGGUAUAAGCCUGGGAAACUGGGUCUAAUUCCCGAGAGGACGGCAGGGUGUUGCCCGUGGUGGGAAGCGAUCGUCUAGUGGUUGGGGAUGAGCUUGCGGCCUAUCAGCUUGUUGGUGGGGUAAUGGCCUACCAGGGCGGCGACGGGUAGCCGGGCUGGGAAGGUGGACGGCGACAGUGGGACUGAGAUACGGCCCAGACUCCGACGGGAGGCAGCAGUGGCGAAUAUAGGACAAUGGGCGGAAGCCUGAUGCAGCGACGCAGCGUGGAGGAUGACGGCCUGCGGGUUGUAAACUCCUUUCGAGCGCGAGGAAGCCACCUGGUUGGAAGGGUGGUGACGGUAGUGGUAGAAGAAGCACCGGCUAACUACGUG